RNAcentral lists this long non-coding RNA (339 nucleotides) under dengue virus type 2. RNAcentral's name for it is "Dengue virus type 2 partial sfRNA1". The record is from RNAcentral. Lineage: Riboviria; Orthornavirae; Kitrinoviricota; Flasuviricetes; Amarillovirales; Flaviviridae.
UGAAAGUCAGGUCGGAUUAAGCCAUAGUACGGGAAAAACUAUGCUACCUGUGAGCCCCGUCCAAGGACGUAAAAAGAAGUCAGGCCAUCACAAAUGCCACAGCUUGAGUAAACUGUGCAGCCUGUAGCUCCACCUGAGGAGGUGUAAAAAACCCGGGAGGCCACAAACCAUGGAAGCUGUACGCAUGGCGUAGUGGACUAGYGGUUAGAGGAGACCCCUCCCUUACAAAUCGCAGCAACAACGGGGGCCCGAGGUGAGAUGAAGCUGUAGUCUCACUGAAAGGACUAGUGGUUAGAGGAGACCCCCCCAAAACAAAAAACAGCAUAUUGACGCUGGGAA